UACGAAGGGUGCAAACGUUGCUCGGAAUCAUUGGGCGUAAAGCGCACGUAGGCGGCUUCGCAAGUCGGAUGUGAAAUCCCUCGGCUCAACCGGGGACGUGCAUCCGAAACUGCGGAGCUUGAGUACUGAAGAGGAUCGCGGAAUUCCCGGUGUAGAGGUGAAAUUCGUAGAUAUCGGGAGGAACACCAGUGGCGAAGGCGGCGAUCUGGGCAGUUACUGACGCUGAGGUGCGAAAGCGUGGGGAGCAAACAGG
Molecule: ribosomal RNA, 253 nt
Filed under: uncultured bacterium
Lineage: Bacteria
Description: partial 16S ribosomal RNA
Rfam family: Bacterial small subunit ribosomal RNA
Source: RNAcentral